This 253-nucleotide ribosomal RNA is filed under the name uncultured bacterium. Its description in RNAcentral is "partial 16S ribosomal RNA". It matches the Rfam family "Bacterial small subunit ribosomal RNA", at positions 524 to 776 of the family's 1533-position model. The record is from RNAcentral.
GACAGAGGGUGCAAACGUUGUUCGGAAUUACUGGGCGUAAAGCGCGUGUAGGCGGCUCUGCAAGUCGGAUGUGAAAGCCCUGGGCUCAACCUAGGAAGUGCACUCGAAACUGCAGAGCUUGAGUCUCGGAGAGGAUCGCGGAAUUCUCGGUGUAGAGGUGAAAUUCGUAGAUAUCGAGAGGAACACCGGUGGCGAAGGCGGCGAUCUGGACGAUGACUGACGCUGAGACGCGAAAGCGUGGGGAGCAAACAGG